AUAAAAACCAACCUUAUAAAACUAGGAGUACAAUCAGCCCUCUAUACCUGUUGGUUCCACAUCUGCGCAUUCAACCAACCACAGAUCAAAAAUAUUCAAAAAAUAAAAGAUAAUACAAAUUUUUAAAUGCAGUAUAACAACUAUUUAUAUAGCAACCUAAUGAAGAGAAUCUGUAAUAAACCUACAACUAACAUCAUUCUCUCUUUUUUUUCUUUUUUCAAGACAGGUCUUGCUCUGUUGCCCAGGUUGGAGUAAAAUGGUACAAUCACAGUUCACUGCAGCCUCGACCUCUCCAGUUCAAGUGAUCCUCCUGACUCUGCCUUCUGAGUGGCUGAGACUAUAGGCAUGCAUCAUUAUGCCUGGCUUUUUAAAAAACUUUUUGUAAAGAUGGGGUCUCCCUAUGUUGCCCAGGCUGAUCUUGAACACCUGGGCUCAAGGGAUCCUCCUGCCUUGGCAUCCCAAAGUAUUGAGAUUACAGGCAUGAGCCACCAUGCCUGGUCCUAACAUCAUUUUUUGGAUACUGCGCUUACUUCCUAAGAUCAAGAACAAGCUGUAUGAAUGUCAUGGUUUCCCUGUUUAUUGAAAUUAUCUUUUAACGACAACUACUACUUCUUGAAACCACAUUGUUAAACUAAGAAAAACAACCAGCAACUACUACUCCUAUUUACUUGUACUAGCUCAUCUGACUUCCACAAAAAUCCUAUGAGAAAGGAGAUGUGUGUAUGAGUUCUGCAGAAGUCCACCAAAUGUGGGCCAGGGUUAUUUCCCUGGUGAUGCUCUGAAGCUUUUGCCAAAGGACAAAUGGAAACAGGAAGUACAAUCAUGCACUGGGGUAAAGAAGAUUCAUCUGCUCUUAGCUACCUACCAUGCCAACACUCCUGAGAAAGCUCACAGAGGCCCAUGAUGCCCACCUGGAUCUGAGGACCUAGAAAGCCACAACAGGCAACCAUAAUCUGGGUCUUCCCUCAGCCAACUCCCCUGCAUAAAGUGAAUGAAUGAAAAACCCAUCUUAUAUUAAUCAGAGUUCUCUAGAGAAAAAGAACCAAUCAGAUGUGUAUAUAUAGAAAGAGAGAAUUAUUUUAGGGAAUUAGCUCACAUCAUUAUGCAGGCUGGUCAAUCAAAAAUCUGUGGAGUGGGCUAGCAGGCUGGAGACCCAGGGAAAGGCUAAAUUGCAGUUUAGAUCAGAAGGUCAUCUACUGGCAGAAUUCCCUCAUCUUCCAGGAAGGUGGAUCUUUUUCUACCAAGGCCUUCAGUUUAUUAGAUUAGGCCCAUGAACAUGCUGGAGGGUAAUCUGCUUUACUCAAUACAUACUGAUUUGAAUGUUAGUAUCAUCAAAAAGACCUUCACAGAAACAUCUAAAAUAAUGUUUGACCAAAUGUCUGCAUACCAUGGCCAAGCCAAGUUUACACAUAAAAUUAAUUAUCACACAUCCCACGAACACCAUCCCCAACAGAUGCUCAUGAGCAUUGUGGUUAUGAUUUCAACUUCAGAAUAAGGCAGAAAUGUGUACAAAUCCUGACCCUUUGACUUAUCAGCUCUCUAAAAAUCAUUAUAUGUCAACUUUCUAGACUUUACCUGAAAAACAGAAACCAAGAUACCCACAGCAUAAGAUUGUUAGGAUUGAAGAAAUUGUUACGAUUGUUAGGUAUGAAGAAAUUUAAACAAUGAUGCAGCUGAGAUAUUUAGAAUUGUACCUGGCAUGUACUUUGUAUUAAAUAACUAAUAAGGCCUUUUUCUGGUGAAAACAAAAUAAGCCUGGAUAAAAGAAGAUGAGACCAGAUUGGUUGAUGGCUCGGCCUGGGUGGGCUCCUGGCCCAUCUGAAAUUACAUUACUCUUAUGUAGUGCCUUUUUUGUUAUUGCUAAAAUAAAAUAAAUAAAACACUCUACUUUCAUACUUUGUAAAAUGCACUUCUCAUUCAGUUCCUCUUCCUGUGCCUUUUCCCUAUUGUCUAUCUGCACACAGCUGUUUUCUUCUGCACAUUUUCAUCACAGAGAAUUACCAGGUGUAGGUCAAAAGAUGCCACAGAGAUAACAAAGGAAAGGAAAAGCUUUUCUGCACUUCUAUCCUUGUAAGCACAAAAAUUAAUCACACUUUCAGUAAACAGGUCAGGUAAGUCAGUCCUGCACUUGAACCUUUUCUCCCCAAAUAAAUAGUUGAAAUGGGAAUGUCGAUUUCUGUAUUUGAACAGAAAUGUAUUAGUGUAGCUUUCAAAAGAAGACUACUCUCUCCAUAUGAAUAUCAUCAGACCCACAAAUACACAUAUGCAUACAUUCACAGUUCAUCCUAACGCUGCAGAAUAUUCUAAGAGUAACACAUUUCUGUACAAAUCAAGCAGCAGCUUUCACUUGCAUGCUAAUCUUCAAAUUAAUUCUGCAAUGAUCCAUUCAUUCCACAUCCCAACCUACAUCCUCAGAAAAACAAAGAUGUAAGUAAGGAACUCAGUAUAACAUGUUUGACUUUAGACACUACUCAAAUAUACUCAAACUUUAUAUGAAUAUGGAUAUUGCUCCUAGAUUAGGCAGUUCAGAAAACAAAUCUUGAUUAUUCUUAGUUACAAUGUAGUAUAAAAUAACAACAAUUUCAUGUCAACAACAGAAUCUCCUAAAAGAUCUUAUAAAGAUAAAAAGUCUUAGGUGUUAGUCGUCAAAGACUAAGUUGUAAAUGUAUCAUUGUAUUUGUGUAGUUAAUAAAACCCUAGACAAGAUAUGGGUUCCAGUUCUUGAACCACCACCACCUGUUCACCUUAAAUAAGUCAACUAAC
Molecule: long non-coding RNA, 2763 nt
Filed under: Homo sapiens (human)
Lineage: Eukaryota; Metazoa; Chordata; Mammalia; Primates; Hominidae
Description: HSALNT0192951
Source: RNAcentral